Molecule: long non-coding RNA, 494 nt
Filed under: Homo sapiens (human)
Lineage: Eukaryota; Metazoa; Chordata; Mammalia; Primates; Hominidae
Description: non-protein coding lnc-CELA1-2:17
Source: RNAcentral
CUCCUGCCUUCGCUCUCUGCUGGUCGCGGUGGCCUGUAGCUCCUCCCUCGGUAGGACCCCCCUCCACCUUGGCGCUUACGAGAUGAAUGAGGAGCCCAGACCUCUGGAACUUGGAGGGGUGAGAGGGGGACAAGCCAGAGCCAGGGCUCCACACCCUCUUCCCCUCACCCACCCAUGCCCUGCAUUCCUUCUGUGCCCCGUCUCCCCAGAUCGGGCCACCCCAUGUGCUCUGGUACGGCAACUCUUGCAGAGAGGUUUCCUCCUGCCCUGCCACGUUGCGCCUGAGCAGAAGGGGACAGCAAGGAGAAGCCUCGCUGGUGGAGGGAAAAUAAAAGAAGCAAAAACAGGCCCUGCUGUGAGGGACCACGAGGCAGUGCCAGGAUGAAAGAGUUGGAGUAACCUAGGUGAUUCUGAGUGAAUCAGUCAGGAGGCCUUCCUGGAGGGGACCAUUGCAGGUACUGUGCCUUCUGCCUGAAAUGUGCUCACCUCGCCUC